AGAGUUUGAUCCUGGCUCAGGAUGAACGCUAGCGGCAGGCCUAACACAUGCAAGUCGAGGGGCAGCGCGGGUAGCAAUACCUGGCGGCGACCGGCGCACGGGUGCGUAACGCGUAUGGAACCUGCCCCCCGCUGGGGGAUAGCCCGCCGAAAGGCGGAUUAAUACCCCAUAGUUCCCUUACCCCGCCUGGGGUGAGGGGUAAAGCUUUGGCGGCGGGGGAUGGUCAUGCGUGCCAUUAGCUAGUUGGCGGGGUAAUAGCCCACCAAGGCUACGAUGGCUAGGGGGUCUGAGAGGAUGGUCCCCCACACUGGUACUGAGACACGGACCAGACUCCUACGGGAGGCAGCAGUGAGGAAUAUUGGUCAAUGGGCGGAAGCCUGAACCAGCCAUGCCGCGUGCAGGAAGACGGCCCUAUGGGUUGUAAACUGCUUUUGCACGGGAAGAAUAACCCCCUCGUGAGGGGGGAUGCCGGUACCGUGCGAAUAAGGAUCGGCUAACUCCGUGCCAGCAGCCGCGGUAAUACGGAGGAUCCGAGCGUUAUCCGGAUUUACUGGGUUUAAAGGGUGCGUAGGCGGGCGCCUAAGUCAGCGGUGAAAGGCAGCGGCUCAACCGUUGAACUGCCGUUGAAACUGGGCGCCUUGGAUUCGGUCGAGGUUGGCGGAAUGCGUGGUGUAGCGGUGAAAUGCUUAGAUAUCACGCGGAACGCCGAUUGCGAAGGCAGCUGACCAGGCCUGAAUCGACGCUGAUGCACGAAAGCGUGGGGAUCAAACAGGAUUAGAUACCCUGGUAGUCCACGCCGUAAACGAUGAUCACUGGAUGUCGGCGACACACCGUCGGCGUCUGAGCGAAAGCAUUAAGUGAUCCACCUGGGGAGUACGAUCGCAAGGUUGAAACUCAAAGGAAUUGACGG
This 910-nucleotide ribosomal RNA is filed under the name uncultured bacterium. RNAcentral describes it as "bacterial SSU rRNA". It matches the Rfam family "Bacterial small subunit ribosomal RNA", at positions 8 to 916 of the family's 1533-position model. The record is from RNAcentral.